Molecule: ribosomal RNA, 404 nt
Filed under: uncultured bacterium
Lineage: Bacteria
Description: bacterial SSU rRNA
Rfam family: Bacterial small subunit ribosomal RNA
Source: RNAcentral
UUAGGAAUUUUGUGCAAUGGGGGAAACCCUGACACAGCCACGCCGCGUGCGGGAUGAAGGCCUUCGGGUCGUAAACCGCUUUUCUCGAGGAAGACACCCGACGGUACUCGAGGAAUAAGCAACGGCUAACUACGUGCCAGCAGCCGCGGUAAUACGUAGGUUGCGAGCGUUGUCCGGAUUUACUGGGCGUAAAGCGCGCGCAGGCGGAUUCGAAAGUCCACGGUGAAAGCUCCCGGCUCAACUGGGAGAGGCCCGUGGAAACUCCGGAUCUUGAAGGCAGGAGAGGCAAAUGGAAUUUCCGGUGUAGCGGUAAAAUGCGUAGAUACCGGAAGGAACACCAGUGGCGAAGGCGAUUUGCUGGCCUGUUCUUGACGCUCAGGCGCGAAAGCUAGGGGAGCGACCGG